GCGGCAGAGCUCACCCAAAUUUCUGUGAUUUUCAAUUCCCAAACCCCAAAAAGGUCAACCAAAAACCUUUGUCUUCUGUUCUGAUGAAUCCACAACAACCCAGUCCAUCGGAAUCCGACCUUCAGGUUCCAUCCCUCGCUUCCCUCCGAAUCCAGCCCUCUUCCCCACGUUUCCCUUUCUCCACCCCCAUCGCCGGUUCUCAGCGUCGCAUCGCCAUCGCCGUUGACUUAAGCGACGAGAGUGCUUAUGCCGUCCGCUGGGCUGUCCAGAAUUACCUUCGUCCGGGAGACGCCGUCGUCCUCCUCCACGUCCGUCCGACUUCCGUCCUUUACGGAGCCGAUUGGGGCUCUAUCAAACUCCAAAUCACUCCCAACUCCACGAAUAAUCGCGAAAACGCCACCGCCAUCAGUGGCGAUCACUCCGACGAGGAGUCGCAGCAAAAACUCGAGAACGACUUCGACGUUUUCACGACAACCAAGGCGAAUACGCUGGCCCAGCCGUUAGUGGAUGCUCAGAUUCCGUUUAAAAUCCACAUAGUAAAAGACCAUGACAUGAAGGAGAGAUUGUGUUUGGAAGUGGAGAGAUUAGGGCUGAGUGCAGUGAUCAUGGGGAGCAGAGGAUUCGGAGCCUCUAGAAGAACCUGCAAGGGAAGGCUAGGAAGCGUUAGUGAUUAUUGCGUCCACCACUGCAUUUGUCCUGUGGUAGUGGUCCGGUACCCUGAUGAGGAAAAUGGAAAUGGUGGAGCCGAGAAGGUGACGAAGAAGAACAUUGUUGAAGAUGUGGAGCUGCAGCCGGUACCUGAAGAGGAACAGGAGUAUCAUGAUGCGGAGGAGGGACACACAGCAAAGGGUGAAAGGCAAUCCAAAAUGUGAAGACUUUGUGGUGUCAAAGAAGAGUGAGAAUCUUGUGUGGUGACGAACAUGUAUGCUUUGUAUAGGGCUCUUGGGUUUCUCUUGUGUGCUUCCUGCUAAUUGUGUUUCGACAAUUAACUCUUCAAUGUAUAUGUAUAUGGUUUGCCGUACUGGAUUUCUUUGCUCAGGCAUGUUAAUAAUACCGUAGGAAUACCAGAUAUUUGUACUACAAAA
RNA transcript from Gossypium raimondii (Peruvian cotton), 1085 nucleotides. It is a transcript of the gene named universal stress protein PHOS32, with no coding region annotated. Lineage: Eukaryota; Viridiplantae; Streptophyta; Magnoliopsida; Malvales; Malvaceae. The transcript is spliced from 2 exons. The record is from RefSeq and is a predicted model, not a curated record.